CCUACGGGUGGCAGCAGUGAGGAAUAUUGGUCAAUGGCCGGAAGGCUGAACCAGCCAUGCCGCGUGAAGGUCAGUGCCCUUUGGGCGUUAAACUUCUUUUGUGCGGGAGCAAUAAUGGUCACGUGUGGCCAGACGAGAGUACCGUACGAAUAAGCAUCGGCUAACUCCGUGCCAGCAGCCGCGGUAAUACGGGGGAUGCAAGCGUUAUACGGAUUUAUUGGGUUUAAAGGGGGCGUAGGCUGUGAGGUAAGGCAGCGGUGAAAUGCCCCCGCUCAACGGGGUGAAGUGCCAUUGAUAAUGCCUUGCUGGAGUGCGGAUGCGGUGGGAGGAAUGUGUGGUGUAGCGGUGAAAUGCAUAGAUAUCACACAGAACACCGAUUGCGAAGGCAUCUCAC
This 394-nucleotide ribosomal RNA is filed under the name uncultured bacterium. RNAcentral describes it as "partial 16S ribosomal RNA". It matches the Rfam family "Bacterial small subunit ribosomal RNA", at positions 338 to 729 of the family's 1533-position model. The record is from RNAcentral.